Molecule: transfer RNA, 66 nt
Filed under: Prodiamesa olivacea
Lineage: Eukaryota; Metazoa; Arthropoda; Insecta; Diptera; Chironomidae
Description: tRNA-Glu
Rfam family: tRNA
About the family: Transfer RNA (tRNA) molecules are approximately 80 nucleotides in length. Their secondary structure includes four short double-helical elements and three loops (D, anti-codon, and T loops). Further hydrogen bonds mediate the characteristic L-shaped molecular structure. tRNAs have two regions of fundamental functional importance: the anti-codon, which is responsible for specific mRNA codon recognition, and the 3' end, to which the tRNAs corresponding amino acid is attached (by aminoacyl-tRNA synthetases). tRNAs cope with the degeneracy of the genetic code in two manners: having more than one tRNA (with a specific anti-codon) for a particular amino acid; and 'wobble' base-pairing, i.e. permitting non-standard base-pairing at the 3rd anti-codon position.
Source: RNAcentral
AUUUAUAUAGUUUAAUAAAAACAUUACAUUUUCACUGUAAAAAUAAAGAAUUUUCUUUUAUAAAUU